AUCUACAGCCAUGCUACCCUGAACAAGCCCGAUCCUGGAAGCUAAGCAGGUAAGCAGGGUCGGGCCUGGUUAGUACUUGGAUGGGAGACCACCUAGGAAGACCAGGUGCUGUAGGCA
RNAcentral lists this ribosomal RNA (117 nucleotides) under Pteropus alecto (black flying fox). The record is from RNAcentral. Lineage: Eukaryota; Metazoa; Chordata; Mammalia; Chiroptera; Pteropodidae.